CUGCGACCCCAGGUCAGGCGGGAUUACCCGCUGAAUGUAA
This 40-nucleotide ribosomal RNA is filed under the name Coptis omeiensis. Its description in RNAcentral is "partial 28S ribosomal RNA". The record is from RNAcentral. Lineage: Eukaryota; Viridiplantae; Streptophyta; Magnoliopsida; Ranunculales; Ranunculaceae.